Molecule: long non-coding RNA, 748 nt
Filed under: Betta splendens (Siamese fighting fish)
Lineage: Eukaryota; Metazoa; Chordata; Actinopteri; Anabantiformes; Osphronemidae
Description: lncRNA (ENSBSLG00000015261.1)
Source: RNAcentral
AAAAGAAAAACGAUAAGGAGGUGCUAAGAUUUAGAGGCUGAGGAGGAGAGUGGCUCCAGUGUCAGCUGUGUUUGAAACACCUACAACAAGCUGCUGCAGGGCUGAGCUGCACAUCAGCGUCUGUACACACACGUACAGUGACUGUGGCAACGGGCAAAAUGAGGACACAAGGAAGGCAAGGAAAAGAGCGAUGAUUACUCAUUUGAAGCUGGCCGGUGCCUCGGACGGGACCCAAGUCCUGGUUGGCAGCGGAGCCGCGUUCGGGCUCCCACCCCGCGAUUUUUCUGUGGACAAGGAUCCUCAAAGUGGACGAAUGCUGCACAAGGGAGCAGUGAGCAGUGCACAGCUGGUGACCCGCCGGCUGUUCGACCCCCCCCCCCUUUCGUCCAGUGACCCCGCUCUGCACAUCACGUCUCACCUACUGUAUAUGACUCAAACAGGACACAGACAUCAGCUUGGAGCGAGUGUGUGGACGUAUUGGAUUUAGCACCGAUUCUUUCGAUAGGUGGUUUAAAGAGAGUGUGAUAUAAUAUGAAAUAUAUUGGUGAUGAUUAGACAAAGGAUGUCGUUGCGUGUAAUUCCACAAUUUGUCAGCUUUUCAUUUCUUCUUUUGACGCUUGUCAUGUUCACAUGUUUGCACCUAUUGUAGAAACAGAGUGUGAAUGUGAGGAUUCAUCAUCACUUGGAUUUCAUCAUGUAUACAGUAUACUGUACAACGCCGCCUGGCUGGGUGUCAGCUGGUUGAAAG